RNAcentral lists this ribosomal RNA (488 nucleotides) under uncultured bacterium. RNAcentral's name for it is "partial 16S ribosomal RNA". It matches the Rfam family "Bacterial small subunit ribosomal RNA", at positions 28 to 507 of the family's 1533-position model. The record is from RNAcentral.
GACGAACGCUGGCGGCGUGCUUAACACAUGCAAGUCGAACGGAAAGGCCCUGCUUUUGUGGGGUGCUCGAGUGGCGAACGGGUGAGUAACACGUGAGUAACCUGCCCUUGACUUUGGGAUAACUUCAGGAAACUGGGGCUAAUAUCGGAUAGGAGCUCCUGCUGCAUGGUGGGGGUUGGAAAGUUUCGGCGGUUGGGGAUGGACUCGCGGCUUAUCAGCUUGUUGGUGGGGUAAUGGCUUACCAAGGCUUUGACGGGUAGCCGGCCUGAGAGGGUGAUCGGGCACACUGGAACUGAGACACGGGACAGACGUCGACGGGAGGCAGCAGUGGGGAAUAGGGGACAAUGGGCGAAAGCAUGAUCGAGCGAGGCCGCGGGUGUGAGGCAGGACUUAGGAGUGGAAAGCAAGGUAAGUGGGGAGGAAGGGCAGUAAGUGAAGACCUUGCGGUUUUGACGUUACCAACAGAAUAAGCACCGGCUAACUUAGUG